UUUUUAGUAUACGUAUGUUCCAUGCAACAUUUGGAACAUAUAUAUACUAAAA
Non-coding RNA from Mustela putorius furo (domestic ferret), 52 nucleotides. NCBI's taxonomy places the organism in Eukaryota, Metazoa, Chordata, Mammalia, Carnivora, Mustelidae. The record is from Rfam.